Molecule: RNA transcript, 619 nt
Organism: Cicer arietinum (chickpea)
Lineage: Eukaryota; Viridiplantae; Streptophyta; Magnoliopsida; Fabales; Fabaceae
Source: RefSeq, a predicted model, not a curated record
AGAGAGAGAGCAAAAAGAAGAAUCGUAAUAGCUUAUAAAUAUUGUUAGUUCAUAAGCAGGUUGCAUCUUACAAAUCAACAACAGAGUUAUACCUGAGGCAGGAAAAAUGUAUCAUACCCAUAAGCCUUUGUUUGAGCCCAAUAAGAAAGUUGGAAAUGUUAUUUCACAUGAAGGAUUGUGAACUUGUAGAUGUAAUGAAUCCAUCAAAAUUUGGUGCUAUGAAAGGGAUGGAGGGGGGUACAAAAGCUGAAUCUGAAGAGGUAAUUGAUGUGAAAGUUGAAGAUCCUGAAAUUGCAUCAAAGAGUCCUGUUUUUUCUCGUCUUCCAUCGCGUAGGGAUACUGAAUUAGCACCAUUGUGUUUGUGUCCAAAAGGAAGUUGGAAAGCAAUUUGCUGUUUCUUCAUGCUGGGUUGCCUUGUCACAGUUAUCCUUUUUAUCAUUGAUAUCUUUCAUCAUCUUCAUGAUCAUCACAAAUAAAGUUACAUGAAAUUUCUCAAUUGGAAAAUGAAAAAUGAUGUUAGAAUGUUUUUACACACAUGUUAGUUCAUUUACUCUGAGUUUGUCAUAUUCUUUUAAGAGAUGAUUUAUUAGAGAAGAGAUUAAACAUUCAACCUAUCAAA